Molecule: long non-coding RNA, 569 nt
Organism: Hemiscyllium ocellatum (epaulette shark)
Lineage: Eukaryota; Metazoa; Chordata; Chondrichthyes; Orectolobiformes; Hemiscylliidae
Exons: 4
Source: RefSeq, a predicted model, not a curated record
UGAUGAAACACAGCUGACUGAAUCACCAUCAUUGUUUCAGACCUGAAAACUUUCUUUGAAGUCACAGUGCAUACGUUGCAGAUGGAUGAUUACAUUACUGCAGAGACCAUGCAGCUGAUAACAGCUGACAUCAAGCCCAGAUUAAUCUCACUGACGACCAAUAAUGACCAGGAGUUUCUGAUGGUCAGGUAGUUUUUUUCUGAAGCAUAGGAAGGAGUUGCAAAUGGGGACCGGCAGAAUUCCCAUUGUAGCAAGGAAUUGCUCAAGAAUUCCAUGGUUCCACUGGGUGAAUCCGGAGACCGUUGAAGAUUACAGCGAGUUAGGCAACUCCACACAGAGAGAGCAAGCUAAUGUUCCGAGUAUUGAUGACACUUCAUCAGACACUUUAUCAAAUCACACAACAUUAGGUUAUAGUCCAACAGGUUUAUUUGGAAGCACUAACUUUCAGAGUGCUGCUCCUUCAUCAGGUAACUGUGGAGCAGGAUUAUAAACACAGAAUUCAUAGCAAAAGAUGACAGUGUCAUGCAACUGAAAUGAUACAUUGAAUAAACCUGCAUUGUUGUUAAGUC